RNAcentral lists this small RNA (944 nucleotides) under Pongo abelii (Sumatran orangutan). RNAcentral describes it as "retained intron". Lineage: Eukaryota; Metazoa; Chordata; Mammalia; Primates; Hominidae. The record is from RNAcentral.
CAGGUCUCCUGAGGGAGCAGCGGGACUUAUGGGCAGGGGCAGGCACCGGGGAGCCCCUUGGGGUCGGCAGGGGGCUUGGCCAGAUGAGCUGUGUGCGUGGAAACUCGCAGGCCACACAGGAAAUUAGCCACUGUGUGGUGCUGAUGCAGAAAGAAAAACGGCCGAGACGCGCUGAGAGCAGGACCCGCAGGCACGGCGGCCCAGGGACGGGGAUGCGGCCAGUGAGAGGACGCAGAAUGAGAUCACAUUGACUUCUCAGUUGCUGACUCUCAACUGCUUAGAAAGGGGCAGAAACGAUAAAAACAGACACCCAUGUGCCCCACACUAAAGAGCUGUGUUAAUAUUGACGGUAUUUGCAGAGUCCCUUGCCCACAGCCCCACCCACCACCCCUGUGACUGGGGCACUGCCCUCCUGCCCUCUCGCCGUCAGCCUCUUGCAGCAAGUAUUUCCAUGAACACCAAGUCGCAGAUUUGUCCACGCUGGUGCCCGCAGGCCUCAUGGGAGGAUUUGAUGAAGAUGUUAAAGCGAAAGUGGAGAACCUUCUUGGGAUUUCCAGCCUGGAAAUAACGGAUGCUGGAGGGGGCCGGCUCUUUCCCUGGCAGCAACAUCCUUGCCCUUGUCACACAAGUCAGCCUCCAUCUGCGCAGCUCUGUGGACGCGCUGCUGGAGGGCAACAGGUAUGUCACUGGCUGGUUCAGCCCCUACCACCGCCGGCGGAAGCUCAUCCACCCGGUCAUGGUUCAGCACAUCCAGCCCGCAGUGCUCAGCCUCCUGGCGCAGUGGAGCACCCUCGUGCAGGAGCUGGAGGCUGCCCUGCAGCUGGCUUUCUACCCGGAUGCCGUGGAGGAGUGGCUGGAGGAAAACGUGCACCCCAGCCUGCAGCAGCUGCAAGCUCUGCUGCAGGACCUCAGCGAGGUAUCCGCCCCCCCGCUGCCACCGACCA